AUGGCUAACAGGGAAGAAGAGCCGCCGGCGUCCCCCGCCUUGGCAGUGGUGGCACCGUCCUUGUACCCUUUGAUCCCCAGGAUCAUGAGCAAGCGGCGGAUGUGGGUGUGCUUCUUCGCAUGUACGCCGCCCUCCUGUCCUCCACAUGGAACUCCCUCAAGUCCAUCCUCGCCUAGUACUAGUCACAGGCCAACCAACACUCGUCGUCCAGGUGGCCCACCCUCUACGCGUCGGUGCUCCUCGACAUCGUCUUUGGGGUCCUCUCCAUGGUCGCCACCCUCGCCGUCGCCAUCCUGGUGACACUAGUGACGUGGAUCACGGUCGUGGUGCUGCUGGCCUUCUUCAGGAAGCCCAAGAGGACGCUGGUCCACGAAGGGAGCAAGAUAACAAAGGAGAUCGUUGGGCUGGUGGGCAAGGUUUUGCUCAAGGAAGGGAAUGUCGUGGCCACGGUUUGUGCUGUAGUUGGGUACUUCGCUCUCAUCAAGAGGAACGCUGAGGGUAACUGAUGGGAUAGAAUUCAAGUUGUGACAGAUUCAGAUCGGCAAAUUUUUCAUUUUAUUGGGAAGA
This is an RNA transcript of Eucalyptus grandis, 567 nucleotides long. RefSeq lists it as uncharacterized. Lineage: Eukaryota; Viridiplantae; Streptophyta; Magnoliopsida; Myrtales; Myrtaceae. The transcript has a single exon. The record is from RefSeq and is a predicted model, not a curated record.